Molecule: ribosomal RNA, 919 nt
Filed under: Klebsiella pneumoniae
Lineage: Bacteria; Pseudomonadati; Pseudomonadota; Gammaproteobacteria; Enterobacterales; Enterobacteriaceae
Description: bacterial SSU rRNA
Rfam family: Bacterial small subunit ribosomal RNA
Source: RNAcentral
AAAGUCGAGCGGUAGCACAGAGAGCUUGCUCUCGGGUGACGAGCGGCGGACGGGUGAGUAAUGUCUGGGAAACUGCCUGAUGGAGGGGGAUAACUACGGAAACGGUAGCUAAUACCGCAUAACGUCGCAAGACCAAAGUGGGGGACCUUCGGGCCUCAUGCCAUCAGAUGUGCCCAGAUGGGAUUAGCUAGUAGGUGGGGUAACGGCUCACCUAGGCGACGAUCCCUAGCUGGUCUGAGAGGAUGACCAGCCACACUGGAACUGAGACACGGUCCAGACUCCUACGGGAGGCAGCAGUGGGGAAUAUUGCACAAUGGGCGCAAGCCUGAUGCAGCCAUGCCGCGUGUGUGAAGAAGGCCUUCGGGUUGUAAAGCACUUUCAGCGGGGAGGAAGGCGGUGAGGUUAAUAACCUUGUCGAUGACGUUACCCGCAGAAGAAGCACCGGCUAACUCCGUGCCAGCAGCCGCGGUAAUACGGAGGGUGCAAGCGUUAAUCGGAAUUACUGGGCGUAAAGCGCACGCAGGCGGUCUGUCAAGUCGGAUGUGAAAUCCCCGGGCUCAACCUGGGAACUGCAUUCGAAACUGGCAGGCUAGAGUCUUGUAGAGGGGGGUAGAAUUCCAGGUGUAGCGGUGAAAUGCGUAGAGAUCUGAGGAAUACCGGUGGCGAAGGCGGCCCCCUGGACAAAGACUGACGCUCAGGUGCGAAAGCGUGGGGAGCAAACAGGAUUAAUACCCUGGGUAGUCCACGCCGUAAACGAUGUCGAUUUGGAGGUUGUGCCUUGAGGCGUGGCUUCCGGAGCUAACGCGUUAAAUCGACCGCCUGGGGAGUACGGCCGCAAGGUUAAAACUCAAAUGAAUUGACGGGGCCCGCACAAACCGGUGGGAGCAUGUUGUUUAAUUUCUAUGCAACGCGAAGAACC